UUUUUUUUAAAUAACUUAAAAAUGUUCAGUAGUGACACAAGGAAUAAAUAGUAAUAAAUACACAGUGAAUAACAAUAACGAGUAAAAAUAACAUGGUUAUAUACAGGAAGUACAAGUACCAGUUAAUAAAAUGGCUAUAAACAGGAAGUACCAGGUAAUAACAUGGUUAUAUACAGGACGUACCAGAUAAUAACAUGACUAUAUACAGGAAGUACCAGGUAAUAACAUGGUUAUAUACAGGAAGUACCAGAUAAUAACAUGGUUAUAUACAGGGAGUACCAGGUAAUAACAUGGCUAUAUACAGGAAGUACCAGGAAAUAACAUGGCUAUAUACAGGGAGUAUAAGUAGGGAUUUGAGGUAGCUAUGUACAUACAGGUAGGGGUAAAGUGACUAGGCAUCAGGAUAGAUAAUAGACUGUAGGCAGUAUACUGUAGGUAGGGGUAAAGGAUAGAUAAUAGACAGUAACAGCAGUAUACUGUAGGUAGGGGUAAAGGAUAGAUAAUAGACAGUAACAGCAGUAUACUGUAGGUAGGGGUAAAGGAUAGAUACUAGACAGUAGCAGCAGUAUACUGUAGGUAGGGGUAAAGGAUAGAUAAUAGACAGCAACAGCAGUAUACUGCAGGUAGGGUAAAGGAUAGAUAAUAGACAGUAACAGCAGUAUACUGCAGAUAGGGUAAAGGAUAGAUAAUAGACAGUAACAGCAGUAUACUGUUGUUACUGUCUUUUAUCAGUAUUAUCAGCAGUAUACUGAGUCCAGUCAGUGUGUUGGUAGAGUCCAGUCAGUGUGUGGGUAGAGUCCAGUCAGUGUGGGGGUAGAGUCCAGUCAGUGCGGGUAGAGUCCAGUCAGUGCGGGUAGAGUCCAGUCCGUGUGUGGGUAGAGUCCAGUCAGUGUGGGUAGAGUCCAGUCAGUGUGUGGGUAGAGUCCAGUCAGUGUGGGUAGAGUCCAGUCAGUGUGGGUAGAGUCCAGUCAGUGUGGGUAGAGUCCAGUGAGUGUGGGGGUAGAGUCCAGUCAGUGUGUGGGUAGAGUCCAGUCAGUGUGGGUAGAGUCCAGUCAGUGUGGGUAGAGUCCAGUCAGUGUGGGGGUAGAGUCCAGUCAGUGUGGGGGUAGAGUCCAGUCAGUGUGGGUAGAGUCCAGUCAGUGUGAGGGUAGAGUCCUGUCAGUGUGGGGGUAGAGUCCAGUCAGUGUGGGGGUAGAGUCCAGUCAGUGUGGGGGUAGAGUCCAGUCAGUGUGGGUAGAGUCCAGUCAGUGUGGGUAGAGUCCAGUCAGUGUGGGUAGAGUCCAGUCAGUGUGGGUACUACACAACACAACACACACUAAACAACACACAAUAUACACUACACAAUACACAACACACAACACACAACACACACUAUAGAAUAUACAACACACACUAUAGAAUAUACAACACACAAUACACACAUUGGUGGAGGUUUUCUGCCUGUAUUAGACUGUCUUCUAGGGCAGUCUGCGGUAGAGGGCUGUCUUCUAGGGCAGUCUGCGGUAGAGAGCUGUCUUCUAGGGCAGUCUGUGGUAGAGAGUUGUCUUCUAGGACAGUCUGUGGUAGAGAGUUGUCUUCUAGGGCAGUCUGCGAUAGAGAGCUGUCUUCUAGGGCAGUCUGCGGUAGAGAGUUGUCUUCUAGGGCAGUCUGCGAUAGAGAGCUGUCUUCUAGGGCAGUCUGUGAUAGAGAGCUGUCUUCUAG
This 1701-nucleotide long non-coding RNA is filed under the name Salmo salar (Atlantic salmon). RNAcentral's name for it is "lncRNA (ENSSSAG00000118262.1)". Lineage: Eukaryota; Metazoa; Chordata; Actinopteri; Salmoniformes; Salmonidae. The record is from RNAcentral.